AAGUAAAAAGUCGUAACAAGGUUUCCGUAGGUGAACCUGCGGAAGGAUCAUUAUCGAAUAAACUUGAACAGGCUGUUGCUGGUCCCAGGACAUGUGCACGCUUGUCAUCUUUAUCAUCUCUCCAACUGUGCACACAUUGUAGACCCUGGAAUUCGUUCCGAGUGGGGACUGCUGUGCUUCGAAUUUGAAGCCGGCUUUCCCUCAGGUCUAUGUCCUUUUGUUUCACAACCUCUUGGAAUGUGUUUAGAAUGAAAUGAAAAGUUAUAAAUACAACUUUCAGCAACGGAUCUCUUGGCUCUCGCAUCGAUGAAGAACGCAGCGAAAUGCGAUAAGUAAUGUGAAUUGCAGAAUUCAGUGAAUCAUCGAAUCUUUGAACGCACCUUGCGCUCCUUGGUAUUCCGAGGAGCAUGCCUGUUUGAGUGUCAUUUAAACUCUCAAACCACGUCGUUCGUUCGAUGUGGCUUUGGAUGGUGGGGGUUUGCAGGCUUUUUCUUCUGAAGGCGUCUGCUCCCCUGAAAUGCAUUAGUGGCGUCUGGAGUGGAAACCGCUAGGUGUGAUAAAAAAAUAUCAUCUAUGCCUUCCGCAUGAAACAGAUUGUGCUGCUUCAAACGCAAACAAUUGUUGACAAACUUGACCUCAAAUCAGGUAGGACUACCCGCUGAACUUAAG
Molecule: ribosomal RNA, 669 nt
Filed under: uncultured fungus
Lineage: Eukaryota; Fungi
Description: eukaryotic LSU rRNA
Rfam family: 5.8S ribosomal RNA (bases 272-425)
Source: RNAcentral